AACGGCGAGGCCGAUGGCAGAACCGGUUAAUAUUCCGGUACUACCUCAAGGAGUGACGUGGAGACGGAGCAGUGACAGUGCCGCGGACUGACGGAAUAGUCCGUUAAAGGGUGUAGAUGUUGAUUCCUGCAGGCAAAUCCGCAGGAAGAGUCGAACCUGAUAGUAUGGAGCGUCUUUCGGGACAAUCCAAUAGUGCAUGUAAACAUACUCCCGAGAAAAUCCGCUAAACUUAAUCCUUGUGGUACCCGUACCGCAAACGGACACACGUAGUCGGGUUGAA
RNAcentral lists this ribosomal RNA (280 nucleotides) under Xanthomonas citri pv. citri. RNAcentral describes it as "partial 23S ribosomal RNA". It matches the Rfam family "Bacterial large subunit ribosomal RNA", at positions 1405 to 1676 of the family's 2925-position model. The record is from RNAcentral. Lineage: Bacteria; Pseudomonadati; Pseudomonadota; Gammaproteobacteria; Lysobacterales; Lysobacteraceae.